Molecule: long non-coding RNA, 641 nt
Organism: Mirounga angustirostris (Northern elephant seal)
Lineage: Eukaryota; Metazoa; Chordata; Mammalia; Carnivora; Phocidae
Exons: 3
Source: RefSeq, a predicted model, not a curated record
UUUCGCGCAAGCACAGGCGGGUACGCAGUCACACCACGCAGAGACCAGAGUGGCGAGAAAGGGAACGCAUACCUAGAACACCUGAGGUCGGGUCACCACCCAUUUACUCAACACGUCCUCUUAUUAGUCACCCAGCAUAGGACAAUGCAGGGAGAUCCGUCUCUAGGACGUUCCUAUAACGCGCAUUCAAAAUCACUAGUGAGAGUGAUGCUAUCGAGUCACGGGGACCCCUUUUCCUGGGACAUACUUCCCACUGGAAUCCUUCCUACCUUCCCAGAAGCAGAGUCAUUCCCGCCAGAGGAACCAGGCCUCAUUUGUUAAAUCAUCUGAAUGCUCCUUCACAAUUAACAACAUAGUACAACAUUAGCAAUAAGGUUUCCAUAUGAUAAAGUUGCCUGGUUUCAGUACUGAGGAUAAAGGGCAUUCAAGAUCUGAAGGGACAAAAUGGUGACAGGAUUCAGACGGAGUGACUCACAAGAUGCUGCCUUUCCAGAACAAGAAGAAAUUCAUACCCAUUUCCUGACCUUAAGAUUCAAAUAGGGGAAAAAAAAAAACCGAAUGGCCUAACAGAGCCAAAGUAAGCCAAGAUAAUGAAAAAGGGGAGUUCCUUUUGUAUCUGCUAGAUAUUAUAGAAAAAAUAA